GCGAUAAGCGCCGGUAAGGUGAUAUGAACCGUUAUAACCGGCGAUACCCGAAUGGGGAAACCCAGUGUGAUUCGUCACACUAUCAUUAACUGAAUCCAUAGGUUAAUGAGGCGAACCGGGGGAACUGAAACAUCUAAGUACCCCGAGGAAAAGAAAUCAACCGAGAUUCCCCCAGUAGCGGCGAGCGAACGGGGAGGAGCCCAGAGCCUGAAUCAGCAUGUGUGUUAGUGGAAGCGUCUGGAAAGGCGCGCGAUACAGGGUGACAGCCCCGUACACAAAAGCGCAUGUGCUGUGAGCUCGAUGAGUAGGGCGGGACACGUGGUAUCCUGUCUGAAUAUGGGGGGACCAUCCUCCAAGGCUAAAUACUCCUGACUGACCGAUAGUGAACCAGUACCGUGAGGGAAAGGCGAAAAGAACCCCGGCGAGGGGAGUGAAAAAGAACCUGAAACCGUGUACGUACAAGCAGUGGGAGCACCCUUCGGGGUGUGACUGCGUACCUUUUGUAUAAUGGGUCAGCGACUUAUAUUCUGUAGCAAGGUUAACCGUAUAGGGGAGCCGGAGGGAAACCGAGUCUUAAUUGGGCGUUAAGUUGCAGGGUAUAGACCCGAAACCCGGUGAUCUAGCCAUGGGCAGGUUGAAGGUUGGGUAACACUAACUGGAGGACCGAACCGACUAAUGUUGAAAAAUUAGCGGAUGACCUGUGGCUGGGGGUGAAAGGCCAAUCAAACCGGGAGAUAGCUGGUUCUCCCCGAAAGCUAUUUAGGUAGCGCCUCGUGAAUUCAUCUCCGGGGGUAGAGCACUGUUUCGGCUAGGGGGCCAUCCCGGCUUACCAACCCGAUGCAAACUGCGAAUACCGGAGAAUGUUAUCACGGGAGACACACGGCGGGUGCUAACGUCCGUCGUGAAGAGGGAAACAACCCAGACCGCCAGCUAAGGUCCCAAAGUCAUGGUUAAGUGGGAAACGAUGUGGGAAGGCCCAGACAGCCAGGAUGUUGGCUUAGAAGCAGCCAUCAUUUAAAGAAAGCGUAAUAGCUCACUGGUCGAGUCGGCCUGCGCGGAAGAUGUAACGGGGCUAAACCAUGCACCGAAGCUGCGGCAGCGAACGUAUCACCCAAGACAACUUUACGGAGUUGACGAUUGACGGAGCGAAGCGACGUCAAAGCGUUCAUUAAAGUCGAGUUGGCUUAGGGAUACGUUCGUUGGGUAGGGGAGCGUUCUGUAAGCCUGUGAAGGUGUGUCGUGAGGCAUGCUGGAGGUAUCAGAAGUGCGAAUGCUGACAUAAGUAACGAUAAAGCGGGUGAAAAGCCCGCUCGCCGGAAGACCAAGGGUUCCUGUCCAACGUUAAUCGGGGCAGGGUGAGUCGACCCCUAAGGCGAGGCCGAAAGGCGUAGUCGAUGGGAAACGGGUUAAUAUUCCCGUACUUGGUGUUACUGCGAAGGGGGGACGGAGAAGGCUAUGUUGGCCGGGCGACGGUUGUCCCGGUUUAAGCGUGUAGGUGUGUGUUCCAGGUAAAUCCGGUU
Molecule: ribosomal RNA, 1520 nt
Filed under: Salmonella enterica subsp. enterica serovar Typhimurium
Lineage: Bacteria; Pseudomonadati; Pseudomonadota; Gammaproteobacteria; Enterobacterales; Enterobacteriaceae
Description: partial 23S ribosomal RNA
Rfam family: Bacterial large subunit ribosomal RNA
Source: RNAcentral